CAGGACUAUUUAUAAAUCAUAAGGAGCAAUGCAAAUACCUUAUGAGGAAUUUUUGCUGUUAUUGUGAUCAACACCAGAAGCUCAAGGAAGUUCAUGGUGAAGCCCCCAUUUGAAACAGGACCUUGAAGAGCAAGGUGACUACAACACGGAGGGAAGGAUGGACUUCGGAACAGGGGACCGGCUUGGGCUAAGAUGUAGGGGCAGGGGGCACGAGUGUGGGGAAUAUGUGGUGGAGAGAAGGUGCCAGCAUGAGAGGGAGCUGGCUGGACUCUGCUGGAUUGCUGGCUGGGUGGUGGAGUCAGGUGAGGCAGGACUUCAAAGUUUAGCCUGAGGCAAUGAGAUCUAAUUUCGGCUAAAUGUAGAUCAUCUGAUGAAUUAUUGAUUUGCUUCAAUGGACAAUUUCAUAGCUCAGAAGUGGAAGAAGCAAGGAAGAAAUGCACCACCCUGAACUUAACUCUGACCAGCCCCAGGGAAUGCUUGUUGGCAAUAGAGUGACCAGGGAGGGUCCAUAGAGGAAGUGACUGUGUCAGCCUGGAGUGGGUCACAGCAGGUGAUGGCACCUUGGAUAUGGCAGUUGCUAGUGCUAAGCUUGAGGAAAAGGCAUUGGAAAAGGCCUGCCUGGGAAAACUGAGAGAUCAGUCCCCUGGCCGGAGACUUAGGAAUGCCACAGGGAAGUUCCCAGAAAGAAGAAGGAGGCUCUGAAAAUGGAAAUCUGCCAUGCAGUCACAAAUCAUUUCAAAGAAAGAAAGGCACUCCCUUUUCCUUACUUCCUCUCUCUCUCUCUCUCUCUCUCUCUCUCUCUCUCACACACACACACACACACACACACACACACACACACACACACGUUCUCUGCUCCUCGUGUCUAUCAUUAGGCAUUCAGGCAGUUAAUUCUCCCAGACACAUCACUGAGAGUGCCAGGAGUCUUGUAGAGUUGAAAAUGGGUGUUGCAAGGCUCAUUACGGAAUCCCAGAGAAAGAGGAUAAGGGAUUUCCCCUCCCUCAGCCUCUGAAGGAGUCCCUGCACUUCCAUUUCUACCCACCCUGAAGGCCCCGUCCCUCACCCAGCCCACAGCCCCUGGCUCCCCGCCCUCCUCUGACUCUGCUCCAGGUCCAUGGUCAUGCCCACCCCAACUGGGUCCCAUUUCAUGUUCCUAAUAUGAGAAAGAUCCUGAACCCCAUACCCUUUGGAGUAAAGAGGGUAGAGGGGCAAGGUGGCAGGGAAACAGCCUAGAGAGAAUCCCAAACUGACCACACCACCUCCCUUUCCCAUCAGCUCUAGGCCAGUGUGGCUCACAAGGAAGCUGGGUGGUGUUUCUCCUCCCCUCCCACCAUUGUGAAGUAUCUUCUUGCUGCUAGAGUGCAGCACCUGGUACAGAGCGUACAUUUCAGUGCUAAGUGAAUGAGUGAAUGUUCGAAGUGCUUAUUGAACACCCAUCCUGUGCCAGGCAUUAUCCCGCACCUGAAACGUCUUAGUAAACCAAAGUCAUAAGAAUUCCUGCACGAGUCACAUCCACAUUCUACUGAGGGUGAAGGCCAAUGAGCCAUGCACACGAUAAACCAGUGCGUUAGAUUCUAUGCUGGGAAGUGUUAAGUGCUUGGGGAAAAAAUAGAGCAGACUAAGGGGGAUGGGGGAAAGAGGGUGUUGCAACUUUAAAUAGGGUGGUCAGAGCAGGUGUCAUUGAGGAGGUGACAUUUAAGCAAAACCUUGAAGAGAUGAAGAAGCGCUGCAGGGAAUGUGAAGAAUAGGAGUGAGGACCCUAAGGCGGGAGGAAGCGUGGCAGGUUGGAGACACAGCGUGGAAAUGGUGUGACUGGAGCAGGGACAUCGAGGGAGCUGGGAUCAGAGAGGAGCAGGAGUGAGUGGGCAGGUCAAGCUGACUUCCUCAGAGGUCUUCCUUGACCACACUUGAUAAGGCGGCCCCCUGGCCCAGCAUUCUCCAUCCCGUUACCCGCUUUGUUUUCCUUAUUACACCCGCACCGCCAUCCGGUGUGUUCUGUUCUGUUCACACUGCCUGCCUCCCUAAGGAACGAUGUAAGGUUCGUGAAGGCAGGGACUUUACCCAUUUGUUACCUGCUCUAUCUAAUGUCAGAAUGGCUGGUGAGGGUGAAGAGGACAGGAUACCUUCCACACCAGAGGCUGAUGAGGAGCUGCAGCUCCUCAUUCCUUGACUGGAGGAAACCCUUCCUGACACAGGCUGAUUAUUGUCAUCAUGAAGGGAAAUCUAUAGUGGUAAGCCACAGGGCUCUUUCAUUGGCCUUGGCUGGUUGAGAGCAGGGGUGAGCUGUACAGGCAGAGUCUUCUGUGAGGGUGGUCCCUGGAUCUUCCUCACAGGCAGGCAGAUGUUUUGCUUUCAUUUGUUCAACAAACAUUUGUUGGGCACCUACUAUCUGCCAUGCACUCAGCUUACCAACUUAGGUUAGGUGGAGAAGGGAGGGACAGUUGGGAUAAUGCCACCCUAGCCCUAUCCAGGCCCCCCCAGGUCCCAAGCUUCAUUGGGCACAUGAGUAGCGUAUGCCAGGUGCAUGCCAGGCCUUGGGAAUGCAAAGAUGAACAGCACAGUGCCUGCACUCAAUCAAGUUGCUGUCAUUAUAGUAGUAGAUGUGAGAGACAUGUAAACAAAUGUCUGCAAAUCCACUGUGAUAGGUAUAGUGGCAGUGUAUCCAGGUGACAAGGGGAAGGGGCAGAAAAUGUCUCAGAGGAGUGAUGCUUGAGUUGAACUCAAAGUGGAGUGAUAUGUCACCUUGUGAUCUGGUGUGAAGUACCCCAAACCCUGUUCUUGUUGAGCCUGAAAUGAGAAGUUCAAUUGUAUGGAUUAGGUAUCAGCCUCUUCCUUUGUGCUGAAAAUAAUUGGUGUUCCUAAGAAAGUAACUAACGCAGCACACAGUUCUGAGAUCGCCUUCUUACAUGUGAAGAAACCAGGUGCCAUGUGAAGGGGGUUGAUAGAGAGAAAGGAGUAAGUGGGGUUCCCUCCUCUCCUAGUUCUCUGUCCCCUCUCCACUUUUAGUGGUCUCUAUUUUUAGGUGCCAAGGCUGUCUAGGAUUCUCUCUAAUCCUAGAGGCAGGAAUUGAUAAAUACAUUAGUAAACACAUUUACCCUAACAGGCUAAUGAUCUGGGCUCUUCUCACUGCUAUGCUUUCUUCUCUCCUGCAUCUCCCGGGGGCAAUUAAAAGUUCCAUCUCUACAAGCCUGAUGAGGCUUCUUGAACCCUCUCUUCACUUCCUGCCUCUGAGCCCAGCCCCUACCUGCCAUGUCCUGGCCUUGUAGAUAGGACCUGAUGAACACAAGAUUUCUUGAUUUUAGCAGGAAUUGGACAAAGGCUCCCAUGGCUAUGCUGUGGACAAAGUAGAAGAAUAAGGCAGAGGAUAGUAUAUCAGAUGGAGAACUGAUUGGUUUAAUAGACAGAAAGAGCAUUGGUAAUUGUUAUCCUGAAGUAUCAACAGUAUUUUAAUCAGUGGCUUGAAUAAAGACUAAAUGACACAAAGCUUAGAGGAAAAGAUAAUACAAAGAUCAACAAAAUCAGAUAUCUAAAGACUGGAUGAGGAGAGACAAAUCAGAUUAUCAGCUGGAUGACUCUGGAGACUCUCCCUAGCUAACCCAGCAAAAUAUUGGCCCUAUAGGAUGGCUUCAAGAACUCAGGUUGGAGCCAAUGCCAAUAUGCAAACUCCUCACUCGAUUUUACUGGGGGACAAGCUAUUUCUCAUGCUGGCAAGGUUGUAACCAAUUGCAAAGCUAAAGAUCUAUCACUUCCCACAUCCAUCAUUAAUAUGCAAGCCAAUGGAGCACAAUGAUCCCUCUCCUGGAUCACACAGCACACACAUGGCACUCUAAGCCACGUUCAUCCCAAGCAUGCCUCUUCAUGGGAUGGCAAGGGUCUGAAAGGACCAUAUUCAUGCUGCCAGCCUGUGCCUGAGUACUCACACUUUGAGUCUGCAUUUAUCCUUGCCCCCUGCUUUACACAUUGGUAUAAACAACAUUUUAAAAAGCCAAAAGAUAAAAUGUUAUAUAGACAAAUAUGCUGCAUUUGUGCUCAAAAUAUCAGUUAUGUAACUAUAGGAAUGGGAAGACUUGGCUCCAUACUUUGAAAAGGAACCAUGAGUUUAGUGGAUUCAGAAUGAGUCAGGAAGUGACCUGGUGGCUUAUAAGUGGUCUGUGGCUUCAUUAACAGAUGCAGCAUCCAGAUGUCAGGAGAGGACAUUGUACUCAUCUUGCCAGCCCACCCAACUGGAAUCCAUGCUUAGUGCAGCCUACUCUAGGCACAGGAAGAGGCAGGGCUGACAGCUGCCACUGAUGUAUAUGCAGAAUACGUACAAGACGAGUGGAGCAGCCAAGAGAACCAGACUGUAGCAGGUUAAUUGGCUGGGGCUGACAGAUUCCAAGUCAAACUGGUCCAAGCUCAUGUCUGGGAUUCUAAAGCAGAAGGAAGAGUCAAGAGAGAGGGAAUGGACCUGGAUGACUGCAAGAGGACCAGGUGCAGAAACCGAAACAUACCAUACUGAGGCAGACAGGAGCAGGUGGUUAGGGGACUAAGGCAAUUACUGAGGAGAGAGGCUGAUGAAAACUGAAGUAAAGGAAAAACAGGUUGGAGUGCUGCAGCUGAGGAGCCCCUGUGGAAAGCUGGCUGCAGUACCACUGUCUACCUUAUUUUAAAAACUAUCUCUUCUUUUUUAUAAAAAAACCAAGCUAAUGCAUGAGUAUUAUUUUUAGUUUUGUUUUUAAAAUUAAAUCAUAUUGCCACAUCCAUAAUUUAAAAAUUGCAAUCCUCUGCCCCAAUUUUUUGAAUUCUUGCUUUCUAGAACCAACUGCUUUCAACUCUCUUCUGUUUCUUCUGUUUAUCCCUCUUUAUUUGUAAACAGCAGAUUAUGCUACUAUAUUUCUUGUGUUUUUUUGUUUUUGUUUGUUGUUGUUGUAGUUGUUGUUUGUUUUAGGUUUACUUUUUUGGCUUCUGUAUGAAAGAUGAGGAUUGUGUUCCCUCACACCAUGCUUUCCCACUCUCCUGCCACCUAUUAUAUUCACACUAUUCCUUCUCCCCAUCCUCUCAAUAUACUAUUGUUACCUUAUGGGUAAAAUCAAUGCUCUUUGAUUUUGAGUAUUGAUUUUAUGAUGUUUAUGAUAUUAUGAUCAUGGAAAUGCAAUUCACUGCUGAUCUAGGGAAUACAAUAAAACUACUUUAUAUUUUACCUGGA
This is a long non-coding RNA of Macaca mulatta (Rhesus monkey), 5185 nucleotides long. RefSeq lists it as uncharacterized. The record is from RefSeq and is a predicted model, not a curated record. Lineage: Eukaryota; Metazoa; Chordata; Mammalia; Primates; Cercopithecidae.